UACGGGGGAAAGCCCGGGGACCUUCGGGCCUGGCGCGAUUGGAUGAGCCCACGUCGGAUUAGCUAGUUGGCGGGUAAAGGCCCACAAGGCGACGAUCCGUAGCUGGUCUGAGAGGAUGAUCAGCCACACUGGAACUGAGACACGGUCCAGACUCCUACGGGAGGCAGCAGUAGGGAAUAUUGGACAAUGGGCGCAAGCCUGAUCCAGCCAUGCCGCGUGAGUGAAGAAGGCCCUCGGGUUGUAAAGCUCUUUUGUCCGGAAAGAAAAGCGCCGGGUUAAUACCCUGGUGUCCUGACGGUACCGGAAGAAUAAGCACCGGCUAACUUCGUG
RNAcentral lists this ribosomal RNA (330 nucleotides) under uncultured bacterium. RNAcentral's name for it is "bacterial SSU rRNA". It matches the Rfam family "Bacterial small subunit ribosomal RNA", at positions 195 to 507 of the family's 1533-position model. The record is from RNAcentral.